UACGGAGGAUGCGAGCGUUAUCCGGAUUUAUUGGGUUUAAAGGGUGCGCAGGCGGCACGGCAAGCCGGCGGUCAAAUCGCGGGGCUCAACCCCGCCCAGCCGUCGGAACUGCCGGGCUAGAGUGGGCGAGAAGUGCGCGGAAUGCGUGGUGUAGCGGUGAAAUGCAUAGAUAUCACGCAGAACUCCGAUUGCGAAGGCAGCGCACCGGCGCCCUACUGACGCUCAGGCACGAGAACGUGGGUAUCGAACAGG
Molecule: ribosomal RNA, 252 nt
Filed under: uncultured bacterium
Lineage: Bacteria
Description: partial 16S ribosomal RNA
Rfam family: Bacterial small subunit ribosomal RNA
Source: RNAcentral